AGCAGUGGGGAAUUUUGGACAAUGGGCGCAAGCCUGAUCCAGCAAUGCCGCGUGAGUGAAGAAGGCCUUCGGGUUGUAAAGCUCUUUUGUCAGGGAAGAAACGGUGAGGGCUAAUAUCCCUUGCUAAUGACGGUACCUGAAGAAUAAGCACCGGCUAACUACGUGCCAGCAGCCGCGGUAAUACGUAGGGUGCAAGCGUUAAUCGGAAUUACUGGGCGUAAAGCGUGCGCAGGCGGUUUUGUAAGUUUGUCGUGAAAGCCCCGGGCUCAACCUGGGAAUUGCGAUGAAGACUGCAAGGCUUGAAUCUGGCAGAGGGGGGUAGAAUUCCACGUGUAGCAGUGAAAUGCGUAGAGAUGUGGAGGAACACCGAUGGCGAAAGCAGCCCCCUGGGUCAAGAUUGACGCUCAUG
This 409-nucleotide ribosomal RNA is filed under the name uncultured bacterium. RNAcentral's name for it is "bacterial SSU rRNA". It matches the Rfam family "Bacterial small subunit ribosomal RNA", at positions 350 to 751 of the family's 1533-position model. The record is from RNAcentral.